GGUGGUAUAGCUCAAGCGGUAGAGCGCGUGCUUAGCAUGCAGGAAGUCUUAGGUUCAAUUCCUGGUACCUCCU
RNAcentral lists this transfer RNA (73 nucleotides) under Camelus bactrianus (Bactrian camel). It matches the Rfam family "tRNA". From Rfam's summary of the family: Transfer RNA (tRNA) molecules are approximately 80 nucleotides in length. RNAcentral also lists the same sequence under 1 other name. Lineage: Eukaryota; Metazoa; Chordata; Mammalia; Artiodactyla; Camelidae. The record is from Rfam by way of RNAcentral.